Molecule: ribosomal RNA, 253 nt
Filed under: uncultured bacterium
Lineage: Bacteria
Description: partial 16S ribosomal RNA
Rfam family: Bacterial small subunit ribosomal RNA
Source: RNAcentral
UACGAAGGGGGCGAGCGUUGUUCGGAUUUACUGGGCGUAAAGGGCGCGCAGGCGGUCUUGAAAGUCAGGCGUGAAAGCCCCGGGCUUAACCUGGGAAUUGCGCUUGAUACUCUGAGACUGGAGUACGGGAGAGGAGAGUGGAAUUCCCAGUGUAGAGGUGAAAUUCGUAGAUAUUGGGAAGAACACCAGUGGCGAAGGCGGCUCUCUGGACCGUAACUGACGCUGAGGCAUGAAAGCGUGGGGAGCAAACAGG